UAUAAUUUAUAAUAUGAAUUUUUUUCUACUAAUUUUUUUGGAUAAGCUCAAAAAAGUUAAGGUUUUCAAUUAAAUUUACUGUAUGGGCUUAAAAUUGGCCAAAAAGUUUUUUAUAAAACAGUAAUCUUAGAUUUAUAGAUAAAUAUAAUUUAAACUAACUUUUUACAAGGAUAAAAACUUUAAUUUUAUGCCUAUGCUAGAAUGAGUAUUAAACUAUUAUAAAGAUCUUCUUUAAAAAAUUAAUUAAUUAGAAGGAACUCGGCAAAUUUAGUUGUUUCGCCUGUUUAUCAAAAACAUGGCUCUUUGAUUAUAUAAAUAUAAAGAGUCGAGCCUGCCCAGUGUUUUUUAACGGCCGCGGUACUCUGACCGUGCAAAGGUAGCGUAAUCAUUUGCCUUAUAAUUGAAGGCUAGUAUGAAUGGUUUGACGAAAGCAACACUGUCUCCUUUUUAAUUUCAAGAAUUUAAC
RNAcentral lists this ribosomal RNA (466 nucleotides) under Semisulcospira forticosta. RNAcentral describes it as "partial 16S ribosomal RNA". The stretch from base 238 to 454 matches the Rfam family "Bacterial large subunit ribosomal RNA", at positions 1693 to 2033 of the family's 2925-position model. Lineage: Eukaryota; Metazoa; Mollusca; Gastropoda; Semisulcospiridae. The record is from RNAcentral.